CAGGAGUUCAAGACCAGCCUGGGCAACAUAGUAGCUCGUAAGCUGGUCUUCCUGGAGGGUGAGCUGGAGAGGGCAGAGGAGCGUGUGGAGGUGUCUGAACUAAAAUGUGGUGACCUUGAAGAAGAACUCAAGAAUGUUACUAACAAUCUGAAAUCUCUGGAGGCUGCGUCUGAAAAGUAUUCUGAAAAGGAGGACAAAUGUGAAGAAGAAAUUAAACUUCUGUGUGACAAACUGAAAGAGGCUGAGACCCGUGCUGAAUUUGCAGAGAGAACGGUUGCAAAACUGGAAAAGACAAUUGAUGACCUGGAAGAGAAACUUGCCCAGGCCAAAGAAGAGAACGUGGGCUUACAUCAGACACUGGAUCAGACACUAAACGAGCUUAACUGUAUAUAAGCAAAACAGAAGAGUCUUGUUCCAACAGAAACUCCGGAGCUCCGUGGGUCUUUCUCUUCUCUUCUACAGGGGGAUAAAGCACCAAUGAACACACAAUCCAGCCUCUUAACCUCUCUCCAGCACCUAGCUACUUCAAGUUAGAACUUCAAAUUUGAACCAAGGAAAACAAUGUUCUGUGAAUCUUUUUCUCCCUGGAAAAAUAGGAGAGAAUGAAGUUCUUUUCUGUCUAUAGUUCGCGACAGCUAGGGGAUGAUGAAAGUUGCAUGCAUUGUUUUUCAUAAUGUGUGAUUUAUUCCUUAAGAAAAAGUCACUCAGAUGAUUCUUGGUGCUCAAGAUGUUGAAAUGUUCUGACUCUUCUCUAAUACAACAAUAGUAAAGUGAAUUCAACAGCCUACUGCUCACUUUAAAACACCGGGGUACCUCUGUGCUUCCCAGAUAUUAUCGUUUCCCAUGGCAGGUUCUAAACUGGUAGUCUGAAGCCUAGCUCUGGUCUGCAGACAUGUUUUAUUUGGACUCCACAGUAUUUUUACAAACUUUGAGCCAAAAUGUAAAAAUAGGGAGAUUUCACACCAAAAAAAUCAGAGUCACUUCACUUUAAUGAGAAUAUGUGACAAGACUAGACUCUCGUGUGGCAUGGAUCCUUCUUCGUAUGACAGUGAGCAGCUGGAACUGGCUAGUGACUACCCUAAGAUGCCACAGUUUCCACCGUUCCCUACCAUUGACCUGACUUUGGGGCUGAGUUUUCAUUUACUGAUCUUGGGGCCAGUUUUCAUUUACUGAUCUUUGUACUUGCUAUGUUAUUUAUCUCAAAGUAAAGAAAUAUUUAUCUGGGCCCAUGUCUUUAUCACGGGAAAGAUAUCAGGCCAGGCACGAUGACUCAUGCCUGUAAUCCCAGCGUGGAGACCCAGGCAGGCAGAUCACUUGAGGUCAGGAGUUCGAGACCAGCCUAGGCAACAUGGCGAACCCCUGUCUCUAUUAAAAAUAUAAAAAUUAGCCAGGAGUGGUGGUGCAUGCUUGCAAUCUCAGCUAUUUGGGAGGCUGAGGCAGGGAAAUCACUUGAACUCGGGAGGCGGAGGUUGCAGUGAGCCGCAAUCGUGCCACUGCACUCCAGCCUGAGCAACAGAGUGAGACUUUGUCUCAAAAAAAAAAAAAAAAAAAAAAAACAAGCAAAAAGAGUAAGACAGCAAAAGAUAAACUGAAAAUUAUAUUUCAAGUAAAACAGGAGUGCACAAAUUUCUUCACGGACUUGAGGAAUAUUCCUGCACGUUCAACAUGUAAACUUUAUAUGUUUGUCAAAAGAUUGUAUGUGUUGAAAGAGAACCCAAGAACCUGGUUACUGCCUAGACCCUGAAGUCAAUUGAGGUCUCUUUGGAGAGCUCAAAUUAAGGAGUGUCAUCUCAGACAAGAGGCGGUAGAGUCAUGAUGGACAAGAGGCUUUGGAGCCAACUGCCUGGGUGUACUCCAGGUUCCACUACUGAUUAGCUGAUAACUAGCUAACUAGUUGUUAACCAUUCAAAGUUUCAGUUUCCUCAUCUGUAAAAUGGGAAUAAUAACAGUAGCUACCACAUAGGGCUCUUGUGAGGAUUAAAUGAAUUCAUACAUGUAAAGUGCUUAUAGUAGUGUCUGGCUCAUAGUGAAUGUAUAUAAGAAAUGCUAUUAUUAUUGAAUAGAUCAAGGUCUCUUGGGUGGGGCCCAGAAAUAUACUUUUCAAAUAAGCUCUCCAAGUGAUUCUCAUGCACAAUAAAAUUUGAGAACUGCUGAACUAGAGACACACCCCUUGGCAUUCCUAUUUACAAAGAAAACAUUUAAGGAAGCCUAUUCUACUUCAGUAAGUAAGCAAACACCUUCUGCAUGGAAAGUUUUUGGGGUAAAAUAAAAAGCUGUGUCACUGCUCAGAGUGCAGGAGAGAAUAAUGACAGGUGAUUGUACCCUUGAGGCUCACCAGGUUACUGGAUUCAUCCCCCAAUUUAAACCUUUUCCCCAUAUUAGGUAAAACAAGUUCUAAAAUACAUUAGUUCUUUGAAACCAGUGAUAGCCCAAAGUAUGGUCAGACUGGCAGCAUCAGUAUCACCUGGGAAAUUCUUAGAUAUGUUAUUCUCAGGUUCCAUCGCAGGCUUCCCCACUGCAAUGGUAUUAUUUUUCCCUUUCCAUAAUAUAUUCAUUGGAACUAAGUCACUACUAAAUCCAGCCCACACUCAGGAGGAGGAGAAUUAUGUUUCAAUUUCUAGAGGGGGCGGUAUCUACAUUAAUUAGAAUUCUUCUGCGCAAAAGAUGUGCCCCUCCUCCCCUCAUUUAUUUAUUCAUUAGUUUUUAUUGAUGUGUACUCAGGGAUAUUUAAUUUUUUAGUUUAUAAUCCUAUAUUAUGACUAUUUAUUUUCUUGCUCAAAUCGUCCUGAGCUUUGGCCAUUGGGAACUGUUUCAGGUUGGCUCCUGUGUCCUUUUGACAUCCCCAAGCUCAUUUUUCCUGUCCCAGCCCCAAAGAGCCAUAGAAUUGAGAAACCAAGAUCUGGACACUAGUUGUGUUUAUUGAUGCUGGGUGUCAUUACUUCUAGGCCCUGUCAUCUGACACAGCAAGGAAAUAUAUGUGUGUAUUCUAAUACAUGUAUGCACACAUAUCUAUGUAUUUUUCUGAAUCUGGCUACCUGCAUGCAUAUGUACGAAAAUAUAUUAAAAUACAGAUAUAAAAUAAACAUAAGUUUAUACUGGUAUCUCUUACUGUAAUUCAGCAGCAUAGGGGACAUUCUAGCCUUCUCGUCUUGCACAUUUGUAACUCCUUCCUCUAAGUUGUAUUUAUUUGUUCAACUCUAGUAUAUAUUGCUAACCAGAAGCCCUGAAGAAAAAAAUUUACCAACUUAGGUAAGGUGUUUAUACUGAGUUCUUUUUGUCUUUAGUCUUACAGUCUCCAAUAAAAAUAGCAUUUUUAAAAGUUGCUGAGGUCAGCUCCCCACCCCUUUCUGUGAGGUUAUUGUAUACAUUUGAAAUAUAGUUAAAUGUAUUUGUUGCAAACAGAGCUCCAUUCUGGGGUGGGAUAGAUUUUUUAUAGUCCAUUUGCUCAAGGAUUUAUUGAAUAUCAGGACUCCUAGCAACCAUAAAAUGCUUUAUAUGUUUUCAGUAUACUUUGUAUGUAUGUGUGUAAGGCUGUAUAUAACAUUCUUCAAAGAAUACAUGUUCACUGGAGAAAAAUAUCCAAAACUACAGGAAAGCAAAAAGAAAAUAAGUCACCAGGCAGCCUAUUGCCUGGAAAUAACCAUGAUCAAAAUUUUAUGAUAUAUUCUUCUAAGCUCUUCUAGAUGAACAAAGUUGGCAUUAUAAAUUCACAUUAUUUUGAACCUGCUUUUUACCUUUACUACAUCAUAAACAUAAGAUAGUAUUUGGAUGUAAAAAAUGCAAAUUUAAAAAAUAUUUUCUCCUCCUUUUUUCUAGGGAUUUCAGAUUAGUAAUCAGAGAUGCUAAGCAAAUGCUAAUACAGGCAUACCAAUAAACAACUGGGACUCUUCCUGGCAAGGGGAACUGAUUAAUAAAAUGGGUGCAAACAUUAAUUGAUGGUGUAAAUUAAGAAUCAAAUCCCUGUUUUAAACAUGUUAUACACACAGUGCAAUCAAGAAAAGCAUUUAACCAAAUUUGUUCAUGAAUUCCAUUGUGUGCUGUUGAAUAGCUAAUUUAUAAUUGCAUUUGUCUGUAAAAUAAUCUAUUAAUAAAAUUGGAGAAAAUUGGGCAUAGAUUCAUUAUCUCAGUCAGUUCUAGAUGCUCACUGAAGAACGUUUUCCCUGCAAAUGAGGUGGAGACCUCAUUAUCAUGCUCAGCAGACUGGGAAGCACAUAUCUGUCCUUUAUUUCUCCAGUGUUGAGUAAUGUUCCAGAAACCCAACUAAUUCAUUAAAGUUAGCAAAAAACUUGUGUUCAUGCUUAAUCUUCUUUGGUGUUAAUUAGAGUUGUCUGUGGCUUAAAAAAUGUUUUAUAAUUUACUGAAACGAAGAAUAAAUUGCCUAUCAGCUUUGUAAAAGUAUUUGUGCUUUCUGCUGGUAGUUCUUGUCCUUUCUGGAGAAAAAUGGUUUGAAAAACGUUUUAUAAACUGAAACGAAGAAUCAAUUGCCUAUCAGCUUUAUAAAGGUAUUUGUGCUUUCUGCUGGUAGUUCUUGUCCUUUGUGGAGAAAAAGCUGGGCCCUUGAGUCACCCUUCCUUUUCGGAAUUUUUGCUUUCCCACUGCUCUUUGGACUCAUGAAAGGUCAGGGUAGAAAAGACUCAGAGAAGUAAUCCAGAAACUACUGUCAAUAUUAAACACAGAGAAAGUUAGAAAGUCUACAGCUAAAUGGGCAGGAAUAAAGAGCCUGUAGUGAAGUAUUCAUUUAUUCAUUCUUU
Molecule: long non-coding RNA, 4751 nt
Filed under: Homo sapiens (human)
Lineage: Eukaryota; Metazoa; Chordata; Mammalia; Primates; Hominidae
Description: HSALNT0310816
Source: RNAcentral